GUCUUCUUCUUGGCACAAAAUGGCCUGCUGGGCAGAGAAUUGCCCUUGCCUUUACUGCUGGCAGUAUGAACACUGUCCUUUCUGGAUGAACAGGACACAAGGGAAAGUGGCUAUUUAACCUUGCCAAGACAGGGACCUUGACCCUUCUGCCUCAAGAUACUAGAAUGGGAUUAAGAAUAGAAAGGACCAAAUUCUGGCUGCUUUACUGGAGGCCAAGCUUAUUCUAGAGAAUAAGCUUUUCUAUCACCCACCUCCUGCUAUCACUCUUUGAAGCCCUCCCAACAGCCCCAACUGCAUGCCUUCCCCUGGGCUCCAUAUUCUGGCCCACAACUCCAGAAGAAGACUUCUGCUUUACCAGAGGCCAUGCCAGUACUAGAGACCACAGAACCCCAGAGGCAACAUUGGCACCCAAAAUUCCAGAGGUCACACAGGCCAUAAAAACCCCAGUGGAGAACCCUACUGGACCUGAAGACUUGCUGGUCACCAGAACACCAGGCCACUCAGGCCAGAAGAGCAGAAAAGAAACAGAAGUCAAGGAAAGAAACAUUCAUCUAACAAAGGUAAACUCAGAAAUCAGCACCUGAAUCUAUAAUAGACCCUAACCCAAAUGACUAGAGGCCAGUGUAAGAAUACAACCAACAAUUGCCAGGACACUAUGGCAUCACCAGAACCCAUCUAUCCUACUACAGCAAGCCCUGAAUAUUCCAACACAGCUGAAGCACAAGAAAAGGACCUUAAAACCAAUCUUAAGAAGAUGAUAAAGGCCCUUAAAGAGGAAAUGAAUAAACCCCUUAAAGAAAUCUGGGAAAAUACAAACAGGUGAAGGAAAUGAAUAAAACUUCUCAAGACCUGAAAAUGGGAAUAGAAAUAAUAAAGAAAACACAAA
Long non-coding RNA from Peromyscus maniculatus bairdii (prairie deer mouse), 886 nucleotides. RefSeq lists it as uncharacterized. The record is from RefSeq and is a predicted model, not a curated record. Lineage: Eukaryota; Metazoa; Chordata; Mammalia; Rodentia; Cricetidae.